RNAcentral lists this ribosomal RNA (671 nucleotides) under uncultured bacterium. Its description in RNAcentral is "bacterial SSU rRNA". It matches the Rfam family "Bacterial small subunit ribosomal RNA", at positions 8 to 648 of the family's 1533-position model. The record is from RNAcentral.
AGAGUUUGAUCAUGGCUCAGAACGAACGCUGGCGGCGUGGAUAAGACAUGCAAGUCGAGCGACAGACCAGGAAUUGAUUACUUCGGUUUGAUUUUCCUGACGAUGAGCGGCGAACGGGUGCGUAACACGUGAGAAAUCUGCCCUUAAGUUCGGGAUAGCCCUACGAAAGUAGGAUUAAUACCGGAUAAGGCCCCGGGAGGGCAUCUUCCCUUGGCUAAAGCUCGGUUAUAGAGCGCUUUUGGAUGAUCUCGCGGUCUAUCAGCUUGUUGGUGAGGUAACGGCUCACCAAGGCUAUGACGGAUAGCUGGUCUGAGAGGAUGAUCAGCCUCACUGGAACUGAGACACGGUCCAGACACCUACGGGUGGCAGCAGUCGAGAAUCAUUCACAAUGGGCGAAAGCCUGAUGGUGCGACGCCGCGUGGGGGAUGAAGGGCUUCGGUUCGUAAACCCCUGUCAUCUGUGGGUAAGACUCCCAAUAAAAGCUUGGGAGGUUGAUAUUAGCAGAAGAGGAAGGGACGGCUAACUCUGUGCCAGCAGCCGCGGUAAUACAGAGGUCCCAAGCGUUGUUCGGAUUUACUGGGCGUAAAGAGUGCGUAGGCGGCUAGAAAAGUUUGGUGUGAAAUCUUCGGGCUUAACCCGGAAACUGCACUGAAAACUAUCUGGCUAGAGGA